This 446-nucleotide ribosomal RNA is filed under the name uncultured bacterium. RNAcentral describes it as "bacterial SSU rRNA". It matches the Rfam family "Bacterial small subunit ribosomal RNA", at positions 28 to 521 of the family's 1533-position model. The record is from RNAcentral.
GACGAACGCUGGCGGUGUGCUUCACACAUGCAAGUCGAACGAGGUAGCAAUACCUAGUGGCGGACGGGUGAGUAACGCGUGGGAAUCUGCCUUUAGAUGGGGGAUAACGGGUCGAAAGACUCGCUAAUACCGCAUAUGACGAAAGUUGAAAGGAGUAAUCCGUCUAAAGAUGAGCCCGCGUCCGAUUAGCUAGUUGGUAGAGUAAAAGCCUACCAAGGCGACGAUCGGUAGCUGGUCUGAGAGGAUGAUCAGCCACAAUGGGACUAGAGACACGGCCCAUACUCCUACGGAGGCAGCAGUGGGAAUUUUACGCAAUGGCGAAAGCCUGACGUAGCGACACCGCGUGAGCGAAGAAGCCCCUUGGGUGUAAAGCUCUGUCAGCUGGACGAAAAAAUGACGGUACCAGCAGAGGAAGCAUCGGCUAACUACGUGCCAGCAGCCGCGGU